Molecule: ribosomal RNA, 393 nt
Filed under: Coelophora saucia
Lineage: Eukaryota; Metazoa; Arthropoda; Insecta; Coleoptera; Coccinellidae
Description: partial 16S ribosomal RNA
Source: RNAcentral
UCAUUAGUUUUUUAAUUGAAAGCUUGUAUGAAUGGUUUGAUGAGAAAAUUUCUUUCUAUAUUUAAUUUAUUAAAAAAUUUAUUUUUAAGUUAAAAAGCUUAAAUAUUGAUAAAAGACGAGAAGACCCUAUAGAGUUUAAUAUAAAAUAUAAUUUAAUUUUUUGGAAUUUAUUAUUUUAAAAUUGUAUAUUGUAUUUGAUUGGGGUGAUUGAAAAAUUUAAUUAACUUUUUUUAUUUAUUAACAUAAAUUUAUGAAUAUUUGAUCCAUAUUAAUGAUUAAAAGAAUAAAUUACCUUAGGGAUAACAGCGUUAUUUUUUUUUAAAGUUCUAAUCGAAAAAAAAGAUUGCGACCUCGAUGUUGGAUUAAAGUUAAUUUUAGGUGCAGAAGCUUGAA